RNAcentral lists this ribosomal RNA (497 nucleotides) under uncultured bacterium. RNAcentral describes it as "partial 16S ribosomal RNA". It matches the Rfam family "Bacterial small subunit ribosomal RNA", at positions 28 to 507 of the family's 1533-position model. The record is from RNAcentral.
GAUGAACGCUGGCGGCGUGCCUAAUACAUGCAAGUCGAGCGAACAGACGAGGAGCUUGCUCCUCUGACGUUAGCGGCGGACGGGUGAGUAACACGUGGAUAACCUACCUAUAAUACUGGGGUAACUUCGGGAAACCGGAGCCAAUACUGGAUAAUAUAUUGAACCGCAUGGUUCAAUAGUGAAUGACGGUUUUGCUGUCACUUAUAGAUGGAUCCGUGCCGCAUUAGCUAGUUGGUAAGGUAACGGCUUACCAAGGCAACGAUGCGUAGCUGACCUGAGAGGGUGAUCAGCCACACUGGAACUGAGACACGGUCCAGACUCCUACGGGAGGCAGCAGUAGGGAAUAUUGCACAAUGGGCGAAAGCCUGACGCAGCAACGCCGCGUGGGUGAAGAAGGUCUUCGGAUCGUAAAGCUCUGUUAUUAGGGAAGAACAAAUGUGUAAGAAACUAUGGACGUCUUGACGGUACCUAAACAGAAAGCACCGGCUAACUACGUG